ACAACCUACGGGGGGCAGCAGUGGGGAAUAUUGGGCAAUGGGCGCAAGCCUGACCCAGCAACGCCGCGUGAAGGAAGAAGGCUUUCGGGUUGUAAACUUCUUUUCUUGGGGACGAAGAAAGUGACGGUACCCAAGGAAUAAGCCACGGCUAACUACGUGCCAGCAGCCGCGGUAAUACGUAGGUGGCAAGCGUUAUCCGGAUUUACUGGGUGUAAAGGGCGUGUAGGCGGGAAAGCAAGUCAGAUGUGAAAACCAUGGGCUCAACCUGUGGCCUGCAUUUGAAACUGUUUUUCUUGAGUACUGGG
This 305-nucleotide ribosomal RNA is filed under the name uncultured bacterium. RNAcentral's name for it is "bacterial SSU rRNA". It matches the Rfam family "Bacterial small subunit ribosomal RNA", at positions 335 to 653 of the family's 1533-position model. The record is from RNAcentral.